GGGGGUGUACAGGUUUCGACUUAGUAAUGGAACAUUAAUGGCAUGCAGAGGACGUCAGUUGGCCUCUCAAAAAAACUGGCAAACCAAUAAACGGCAAAGAUAAACUUGUCGCUGUUGAUUUCGCACCUAGUGCAGAUCUCGACAGAAUGGCUGCUUAAGACCUAACAGUUUAAGCACCUCGGUGACCUAGAGCGCACCAGGCUCUUUAGAAUCACUGUCAUAUUUCCUGGUAUGAAUCUGAUCCGUUCGGCCUUUUGAGAUUGAGAUUCGAGAUUUAAAAGGGCGAGUUGCUUCCCUCUGGGGCACCUUCCAUCAGAAGCAACUGCGAAACUAAAGGUGAUAAGCAUGUAGUCAUUAAUGCUGAAGUUGUCUAAGGACGAGAGUUCGAUUCUCUCCACCUCCA
Molecule: transfer-messenger RNA, 403 nt
Filed under: Chlamydiota bacterium
Lineage: Bacteria; Pseudomonadati; Chlamydiota
Description: Chlamydiae bacterium transfer-messenger RNA, SsrA
Rfam family: transfer-messenger RNA
About the family: Bacterial tmRNA, also known as 10Sa RNA or SsrA, is named for its dual tRNA and mRNA-like properties. Its role is to liberate the mRNA from a stalled ribosome.
Source: RNAcentral